Long non-coding RNA from Haliotis rubra (blacklip abalone), 1308 nucleotides. RefSeq lists it as uncharacterized. The transcript is spliced from 2 exons. The record is from RefSeq and is a predicted model, not a curated record. Lineage: Eukaryota; Metazoa; Mollusca; Gastropoda; Lepetellida; Haliotidae.
GGUGAGAUUGAGGCGGUGAUGUAGGGGUGGGAUUGAGGUGGUGAUGUAGGGGUGGGAUUGAGGCGGUGAUAUAGGGGUGGAUUGUGGUAAGUUACAUUAGCCUGAGUAGAUAAUAGUAUCACUUUCCAUGUAUUGCUGGACAGGGGACGGUGCCAUGAUGGAGGUCGGAAUAAUUCUGUUGUUUUCAGCUUGUGUUUAUUGUGUCCAUGUUUAUGUUUUACACUGUAUUCAGGUUGGAGAGUUAUUUAUUAACCAAUGGAAAUGUAUGAAUUUGAUGGAAUGAUUAUUUAAUAAAAUGUACAUAGGAUGUGUCAACAUUAUUCUGUGUAUUGGAUUGUAUAUAAAUGACAUGAUUGUCUCUGUACUCCAAAACAGACUUCUCAAGUUUUGAAUUAUUAGAUUCUGUACUCCAUGACAGAUGAAGUCUGUGGAGGCUAAACCUGAUGAGAGACGUGUACGAGGGUUGAGUUUACCAGUUCUUUACAGAAACAGAGACUAGUUACAGUGUUGUCAUUAUGAAGUCUGUAUCUAGACGAGUGUCUGUUUCUACUUACAUGUGACCCCAGUGUCUAGACGAGUGUCUGUUUCUACCUACAUGUGAUCCCAGUAUCUAGACGAGUGUCUGUUUCUACUUACAUCUGACCCCAGUGUCUAGACGAGUGUCUGUUUCUCUCUACAUGUGACCCCAGUGUCUAGACGAGUGUCUGUUUCUCCUUACAUGUGACCCCAGCGUCUAGGCGAAAGUGUCUGUUUCUAAGCAUCUGACCCCAGUAUCUAGAAAGUGUCUGUUUCUACUUACAUCUGACCCCAGUGUCUAGACGAGUGUCUGUUUCUUCUUACAUGUGACCCCAGCGUCUAGACGAGUGUCUGUUUCUACUUACUUGUGACCCCAGCUGUGAUAGCUGCAACUACCUGUACUUAAUGACACUGGCCCUGGUUAGGAAGUUUACUGCACAGCCAAACAUUUCUCCCUUGUUUUACGGAUUAACCGACUCAGUGUGUUUUUCCUGUUUCUUACAUUCUGUUUAUUUAAACUGCAACAAUACGAAUGUAACGACAGGGAAAGGUCUUUAUUAAGUAUGUUAACUUGUGCCCAGUGUUUUAUUUUUGCAAUAUGAUAUGAUAAACCAAUCAACCAGUGCACAGUUGAAGCUGAACGUUCACAUACUUGUUCCACUAGUGAUGACACCCAGUUAAUCAACCAGUUCUAAUUCAUACUGAAAAAAACUUUGGGGGCAUUUGCCAUUUUUGAAAAGAUAUUUAUGAUGAUUUCUAAGUCAGUUUUUUUAAUAAAUUGUUCUGAAAUUU